GACGAACGCUGGCGGCGUGCUUAACACAUGCAAGUCGAACGGAAAGGCCCUGCUUUUGUGGGGUGCUCGAGUGGCGAACGGGUGAGUAACACGUGAGUAACCUGCCCUUGACUUUGGGAUAACUUCAGGAAACUGGGGCUAAUACCGGAUAGGAGCUCCUGCUGCAUGGUGGGGGUUGGAAAGUUUCGGCGGUUGGGGAUGGACUCGCGGCUUAUCAGCUUGUUGGUGGGGUAGUGGCAUACCAAGGCUUUGACGGGUAGCCGGCCUGAGAGGGUGACCGGGCACAAUGGGACUGAGGGACGGACCAGAAUCCUACGGGAGGCAGCAGUGGGGAAUAUUGCACAGUGGGCGGGAGCCUGAUGCAGCGACGCCGCGUUCGGGAUGACGGCCUUCGGGGUGUAAACCGCUUUCGCCUGUGACGAAGCGUGAGUGACGGUAAUGGAUAAAGAAGCACCGGCUAACUACGUG
RNAcentral lists this ribosomal RNA (468 nucleotides) under uncultured bacterium. RNAcentral's name for it is "partial 16S ribosomal RNA". It matches the Rfam family "Bacterial small subunit ribosomal RNA", at positions 28 to 507 of the family's 1533-position model. The record is from RNAcentral.